CCGAACCACAGCAUCGACCCAAGCUGCGAAAGUGAAAAUGCUGCAUCCUUAACCCCCUCCGCCACAGGGGAACUCAAUUUUUUUUCCCCUCACAUUUCCUUUGACGAGCUUACCUUUUUUCCCCUCAGUACCAAUCCUGUCCUUAUGCUGACUGAUUCUCAAAUCCGUCUCCUCUUUCCACUUCUGACCUGAGCCCUAAACUUGAACUUUCAACACCUUUCUUGAUAUUAAUAUGUUUCCAUAUUUCUACUGUCCAACAUAUCUCAUACUUUAUUUAUGUACUUAUUGUGCUUUUUUGGGCCACAUCUCUGCAGCUCUAAUUCCACCCCUAGCCUGGGAACUUCCAUUGGCUGCAGGUGCGGCCCCAAAAAGAAAAAUAAAGACAAGAAAUCUAAGCUGGAUCCUAAAGAAUGAGUGAAAUCCAACAAGGUGAAGAGAGAGGGCAGAGAAUAUUCAUUCCUUUCUUUCUGCAAAUAUUCAUGGAACACCAACUAUGUUCCAGGCAUGUUCUAUAUGCCAGAAACACUGCAGUGAACAAAACAGACAAAAAGCCCCUGGCCUCAAGCCAGGAGAGCUCCAGUGCCUCUGGCAUGUGCAGCAGAGCUGUUGGAUGUGUUAGACUAGAGCAGCGUUCUCUGCCCGGCUGCACAUUGAUAACACCAUCACGGGGGAGCUUUCCAACGCCCUGAGUAAUUGAGGCACAAUGCCUGGGAGGGGGACUGGCAUUUUUUAAAGCUUCCUGGGUGGUUCUCCUGGGCAACCAGGGUUUUAAGCCACCCAAUAAGUUGGAGGAACUGGAGAUCAGAGCUAAGGUUAGGGAGGUGAACAGAAGCCAGACCACAGAGGGGCUGUGUGACUCCUGUUAGGUAGUUUUGUCCUAGUCUUGAAGGCACUGGGAGCUACUAUGGGAUUUAAGCAGGAUAAUGACAGGAUGAGAUGAUUCUCACUUUUUUUCCCCCUUUAACAAAGGCUCCAUCCAGAUGCUCUAUGCUCGGUGGGUUCACAUGGAGCAAAAGUAAACUGAUGGCCACUUGGAGGCUGUUGCAGGAACCAAGGAGGAGUGGUGGUCCUGGGCUGGGGUGAUGGAAGUGAGAAUGGAAAGGAAGGGGAAUGUCUGAGAAAGUUGGAAGGAGACUAGGCAGGACUCCGAGAUUCACCGAAAGUAAGGGAUACAGGAGGGCAAAGAGUUGAGCAGCUGGGUUUGUAGGGGGCCUCGCACCAGGGUGAGCAGGUUUGGAGAAAGAGCUGGUGGAUCCACUUGGGACCUGCUGCUUGCUCUCUUCUGCUUGUGAUUCUGUGCUUUUUCUUCUCCACAUGAUAGAGCCCUGGUCUCCUACAAGAUCUGUUUGACACGUUGUCUCUUCCAGGAAGCCUCUCUGAAUUCUCCCCUCCAUUAGCUCUGGCCGAGUGUUGGUUAGGUUGUGAAGUCAGGAUCCUGACCGUAUUUACAGAUAUCUGUUCUGCAGCUUGGGCUCCUCCCACCAGGGAUGUGUUUUAUUCCACACCCUCUGCUUAGCCCAGCACCUGGUACACAUUAAUUCGCGCUUGUUAAAUAGUUGAGUAAUGGAUGAAGAGUGGGCCAGAGACAAGACCUCUCCCAGAAGUGUGAUUAGAAAUGGAUCUGGGGGCUUCCUGUUCUCAUUUCUAGGGAAAAGGAUGGAGAGAUCCAGGGGCAGAGAGGAGGGGAUUUGUUGAGCUGAAUCAGGAAAGAGGCCUCAUUAAUGAGGCUCUGAGGGAGUUCCCUGGUGGCCUAGUGGUUAAGGACUUGGUGUUGUCACUCAGGUUAUAGCUGUGGCUUGGAAAGCUGCUGUUGCUUAGAGUGAUAUGUAGCCAGCUAUCCGAAUGAUCUUUUUUUUCUUAAUUGAAGUAUAGUUGACAUAUUAUGUAAAUUUUAGGUGUACAACAUAGUAAUUCACAAAUUUUAAAGGUUAUAUCCCAUUUAUAGUUAUUAUAAAAUAUUGGCUAUAUUCCCUGUGCUGUGUAAUAUAUCCUUGUAGUUUAUUUAUUUUAUUUUAAUUUUUAAUAUUUUUAUCGCUUUCCAUGGUAUUCUCACAAGUUUCAUUUAUUGCUGUAAAGAUGUAGCAAUACAGAGUGUGGAGCUGACAGAAUAAAUCCCUUGGCUCGCUUUCUGCAUUUCUGGGGGGUAUUUGGCCUUUCUGCAUUUCUGGGGGGUAUUUGGGCAGAAUUUACAUGUAAAUAGUAUUGCAAAAGAAAACCAGAAAUUUCUAGAAAGUCAGAACUAGGCAAGCCCUGAGGGAGCCUUAAGUUCCAGGACAAAAGCUAUCUUGCAGUAAAAGGGAAAUAUAGGAGUUCCCGUCGUGGCACAGUGGUUAACGAAUCCGACUAGGAACCAUGAGGUCGCGGGUUCGGUCCCUGCCCUUGCUCAGUAGGUUAACUAUCCGGCGUUGCUGUGAGCUGUGGUGUAGGUUGCAGACGCGGCUCGGAUCCCGCGUUGCUGUGGCUCUGGCGUAGGCCGGUGGCUACAGCUCCGAUUCAACCCCUAGCCUGGGAACCUCCAUAUGCCGCGGAAGUGGCCCAAGAGAUAGCAACAUCAACAACAACAAAAGA
RNAcentral lists this long non-coding RNA (2568 nucleotides) under Sus scrofa (pig). Its description in RNAcentral is "lncRNA (ENSSSCG00015049123.1)". The record is from RNAcentral. Lineage: Eukaryota; Metazoa; Chordata; Mammalia; Artiodactyla; Suidae.